Molecule: small RNA, 90 nt
Filed under: Heterocephalus glaber (naked mole-rat)
Lineage: Eukaryota; Metazoa; Chordata; Mammalia; Rodentia; Bathyergidae
Description: NoRC associated RNA, pRNA
Rfam family: NoRC associated RNA, pRNA
Source: Rfam by way of RNAcentral
UGGUGGCGGUGGUACAGGGGAUUGAUCUCAGGACCUUGCGCUUUCGAGGCAGGUGGCGGGACCACUGAGCUAAAUCCCUGGCCCCUGAUG